UCCAAAGCCCACCACGAACCCCACACCAGUAUUGAAUGAUUCCAUAACCUAUGGAAGCCACCAUGCUAGAACUAGUAACAAGAAUUUGAAAUUCUCCAAAAUGCAAACAUAAGCCAAAAUGGACAACCCAUUGGCACUUAACGACACUGAACCCACUAUAGCAACACAACUAGAAAACCCUAUUAUAAGCCCCGUUAACCUAACACAAGAGCAUUGCCGGGAAAGAUUAAAAGGAAGAGAAGGAACUCGGCAAAUUUCAACCCCGCCUGUUUACCAAAAACAUCGCCUCUCGCAAAAUAUAAGAGGUCCAGCCUGCCCAGUGACUUGUUUAACGGCCGCGUGACUUUAAGCGCGCGAAGGUAGCAUAAUCACUUGUUCUCUAAAUAAGGACUCGUAUCAACGGCACCACGAGGGUUGUACUGUCUCCUCUCCCCAAUCAGUGAAACUAAUCCCCCUGUGAAAAAGCAGGGAUAAGACUAUAAGACGAGAAGACCCCAUGGAGCUUAAAACCAACAACAACUUUUCCCAUACAAAGCCAUAAAGCCUUAAGCCCUGUUCGCCGGUUUUGGGUUGGGGUGACCGCGGAGCAAAACAAAACCUCCACAGCAAAAGACACUAAGCCCUUAUCCAAGAACAACAGUUCUAAGAAUCAAUAACCUGAUGCCUAACGACCCGACCAUCGAUCAAUGAACCAAGUUACCCUGGGGAUAACAGCGCAAUCCACUCCAAGAGCCCGUAUCGACAAGUGGGUUUACGACCUCGAUGUUGGAUCAGGAUACCCCCGGCGGUGCAGCGCUGCCAAAGG
Molecule: ribosomal RNA, 805 nt
Filed under: Occidozyga cf. diminutiva ELR 202
Lineage: Eukaryota; Metazoa; Chordata; Amphibia; Anura; Dicroglossidae
Description: partial large subunit ribosomal RNA
Rfam family: Bacterial large subunit ribosomal RNA
Source: RNAcentral